This is a long non-coding RNA of Tripterygium wilfordii, 306 nucleotides long. RefSeq lists it as uncharacterized. NCBI's taxonomy places the organism in Eukaryota, Viridiplantae, Streptophyta, Magnoliopsida, Celastrales, Celastraceae. The transcript is spliced from 2 exons. The record is from RefSeq and is a predicted model, not a curated record.
UAGAUUUGUGGUAAAGCUUUUGCUCAAGCGAGGUGAUAUAGGUACUAGCGCUAGUGCUCCGACUACGGAUCAGCAGGGAGGAGCGUGACGCGGAUGGCCUGGACUUGUGGUGAUUUGUUGUUUAUUUUGUGUGGUCUUUGAUUAGUCUUAGGCUUAAUGGUAUAUUGGGAUAUAUACGAAAUGUGUGGGAUGAAUGAUGAUUUUGGAUGGUUAGGCUUGAUGCCUGGGUAUGUAUGUGUGUAUGAUGAAUUAUGUUUGAGAUGAUAUGGCCGGAGGCCCUGGAUAUUUAGUUUGGUGUUAUGGGAA